Molecule: long non-coding RNA, 4709 nt
Filed under: Homo sapiens (human)
Lineage: Eukaryota; Metazoa; Chordata; Mammalia; Primates; Hominidae
Description: HSALNT0077605
Source: RNAcentral
UUCCACCCUAAGUAACAAGCUCUUGUCCCAAUAGGAUACUCUUGCUUUGAGUACUGCAAUAACUUUCCAAUUGGUGACUUGCCGUCAGUCUUUUCCUAUUUCAUUCCUACACGAAGAGACUAGAACUGUGUUCUGAUUUCCUUUGCUCAGACACCAAUCUCCAGGGGUGCUCUGUAAUUUGAAGAGGACAACUCAGAAAGCACUCAAGGGCCUCCAUAAGUCCCUGAGUGGCUUCCCUGCCUUCCCGUUCCCCAGCAAACAAUCCCUUGGAUACCCUCUAUUAAAUGAUACGUUUCCCCUUACAAUACCUAGUCCCUUGCCCCAUAUAUGCUAUGUGUAUUGCACAGUCUAGGACUUGACUCAUGCUGUUUCCUCACGGAGCAUGCCCUUCUUAUUUCUAACCAUACAAAUUCCAUGACCUAUCCAUUCUUUCAAUUCUACUUCCACCUGAGGCCUCUAUCAGCCCACAUUAACCUACCUUCUUUGAAUUUCUGUGUGUUCCUUACCUGUACCACCCAUUUUGGCCUUUUAUUUUAUGCUCUUCUUGACUAUUCUGUUAUUGAAACUGUCCUUUAGAUCCCAAGAUUUCUACUUUUUCCCUGCGGAUGCUUUUUUAUUUUUUUUAUUUUUGACUUCUUUCUACCCUCCUUUUCCUCUUACAUCCCUGCUUUGCCUAGAGGACAUCUACAAGAAUCGUCAUGUACAUUCUUUUCUCCUGUUGUUAGCUUUUUUCCCCUGACACUUCAUCUAUUUACUGAUUUACUUGUAAAUCUCUGGAAGAUAUUAGUACUAGCCACCAAAUAUUUCUAUUUCUUUUUCCACACACGUAGAUUUGGAUUUCCCUACUCCUUUUACCUCAAGAAUGGCCAAUGAAAUGUGAUUGGAAGUGACUUGUGUCAUUUCCAAAUAAAAGCUUUAAGAGCCUGUGGACAUUUAUCCUGCGCUGUUUCUUCCUGCCAACAGUGAUGAAAUAUUUUAAUUAUCUAUUGUCCCAUGACAAAGCACCUUAAAUCUUAAUGGUUUAAAACAGUCACCAUUUUAUUAUGUGUAACAGUUUUGUGGGUUGACUAGGCUCAUGGGCAGUUGUCUAAUCUUGCUCAGGGUCUCUCAUGUGGUUCCAGCCUGGUAUUGUUUGGGGCUGGAGUUUUUGGAGGCUCAACUAGGUUGCUAGAGUAGCUGAGCUUUUCUAUUUACCCAUGCCGUUCCAAAGACUCUCUGAUUCACAUGGCUUCUUCAGCAGAGUAGCCUGACUUCUUUCUUGCAUGGUGGCUUAGGAUUCUCAAAUGCAAUAAAAGCAAAAACUUCGAGGUUUUGUAAGUCUUAGGUCUGGAAAUGACAUGUUGUAUUGGUAAAAGCAGUUACAGGGCCAGCUCAAUUUUAAGGGGAGAGGAAAUAAACACUUGAUAGGGGUGGAGGGAGAGUGACAAAGAAUUUGUGGCCAUCUUUAUUACAAAAAUUUUUGUCAACCACAGAGUUACAGGAAAAUGUGGCCAUCUUUAAUCACUACUCCAACGAUGUUUCAAAUUGAGUGGGCUUCCAUCAGCCAGGGUCUCGGAGACAGGACAAAGUGGAAAACAGCUCCCAAAUAACAUACCUAGGUAUAUGAAUAAGAAAUACAUCUCUGCUGUCCUGAGUCACUUAGCUAUUUGGAGUUGUUUGGUAUCAACUUUUGCAUACUAAUAUAAAAAUUGGUACUGGAAAUAGGGUGGUGCUAUAACAAAAAUCUAAAAUAUGAGUCACUGACAUAUAUAAUAAUUGAGUUAGAAAUACUAGUGGUUGGUUGUUAGGCAGCAUCCAGCUUUGACUCACUUAUGCAUUUCCCAGUGAACCUAGCUCAGAAGUUUGCACCAUGAUAUUCAAUAAAUAAUUCUUAAAUAAGAGAGAUUGUUUCUUGUAAUUUUUCCCUAUUUUAGGGAAAAACUUUUUUUUUUUUUCCAUAUCACAUUUUUCUUGAAACAUUGGAGUGCCACGAACAUAUCAUUUGAUGCUCUGUUUGAGUGCCACCAGUGAGUUUCCCGAUGUUUAAGUUUGGCUCGUGGGCAGCCCACCUUCUUCCUCUCCACUUUCUCUUGGGAGCCAUCCUGCUCAUGGAAAGUGUGCUUUCUCCUCUGCUACCUCACACAAGUUUCAAAGGAGCUUGCUCCUGCCAGGGGAGGCUUGGGGUAAGCCAAACAGCAUCAGCUCCCCGGGGGAAGGGAAAUUUCAGGUUUGGAGCUAAGUUCACUUCCAGGGAGUGACAAAGCCUGUUUGAACUUUAAUUCACAGAGUAAAAGAGUUCAAUGUUGGCCAUUAAUGAUUUGGACUUUAACAUGAAGUUGGUACUGAUUACUUUGGGCCAUAAUUUAGAAGGACAGAGUGAUUUAAUCUCUGAACUUUUAAUUUCUCUCUGGAAAAUUAAUACUGGGAGAGGGUUAAAAUCAAAUUGAGAACAUCUUGUUGGUUCUUAGUUAUUAAAGUAUUUGAUCACAUUUUAGAAAUUCUGAUAACUUUGGGCAAGCUGACAGGACAUAGUUUGAGAUGGCGAUAGAACAUAUUGUGAAUUACAGCCUUGGAUACAGAAUAGCAUUGGAACUGAUUUAAUCGAUAAAUUGUUCUGACCCAUUCAGGGCAUUUUGGGGACAGACUCUACAGUUUACUAGUGGCCCCAGGACAUCCUGCAAAAGAGGUGAAAUCAGUAUUGGAGAAGUGGUCUCAUGAAGAUGGGAGCACGACUACUACAAUUGACUGCUGACUUCUCACCCAAGGAAGUAACUGUAUCCCAGCCUAAUCUCAGUGGAUAAGCCCACAGGGUUAAGGAGUAAUCAUCAUGCUCCAUUUCGUUUUUGAGCCAUCUUCAGCCUUUGAGUCCUUAAGCUUUUUGGAGACAGUUUGUGGAGAAGGUCCUCACAACAUUGUGCAACAAGUGUGAAAGAUGUAGUCUCCAUUUACGGCUACUGAAAUAGGCUGAGAGAGGGUUUCCUAGACUUUCCAUCACCACCAGUGAAUUCUGAGUGACAAUAGUGUGGAAUUUGGAAGAAUGGAAGAGAAACUGAAGUGGAGAGAUGGUGAAAGAGAAGAAAAAAUGAAGAAAGAUGCUUGCAAAAAUACUGCUGUGGGUCCUGAGAUGAGGAUUCUGGGAGGGCUGAAAUGGAUGCCCCUGACAGCUCCCUUUGAGUUCCUGUUCAUCUGAAGUACACCAGCUUUCUAGAUAUGCUGUCACUUUCCUUCUGCAGAGCCACAGUGGUGUCCUGUCUUCUCAGACCUCUUCUCACCUCAAAUCACUUAGGACUCGGCCACCAGACAGAUUUGGGAUUUCAGAACUUUUCAGAUGUUAGAAAGUUCUUUUCUAAAUGUGAUGAGGAAUUACGGAAUCAUAAAAUGGAAGCAGAGUUAAACUCAGACAUGUGGGCACUCAAGGCAAUUAGGAGCUUUCUGCGAUGAGAAAGGGAUCAGACUGAUCCUUAAGACUUUAUGCAACCCCAGAGUAUUGCAGCCACCUGCAUGCCGAAGGUGUCAAGAGUGUUCUCACUGCUGCCUAUAGGAGGGUCUUCAGCCUCCAGUGAUCCAAAGUACCAGGCUGACCUGUGACUGCUUCGGCCAACUGAAUAGGGAAGAGUGAUGCUGUGCUGUUUCCAGGCCUGUUCUUUAAAAGUACUUGGAAGCUUCUGCCUUGGCCUCUUUGUGCCUGAGUUGCUGUAUAAGAAUCUGACUACCUUGCUGGAGAGACCUUGUGGAGAAGACUUGACCUUAUAUGCAGAGGUAGAGGGGCCCUGGUUAGUCCAGCCAUCUAGCCAUCCUGUCAAAAUAGCAGAUCCAUUUCCUGCCCUUCUUUUAUUCUACUCUGUAUUACAGCCAACCACAUUUCCAGGCUCCCUUGUCCUCUGCUAUCUAGGAGUAUGAUGGCCAAUGGAUCCAAAACCUAUCCUAUAUCUACAUGUUGGUGGCCACAUUAAUCUGACAUCUGACAGCAAGAGCGAUGAUUGGGUUCACUGGAAAUCUUUGUGAAGUACGAGUGAAGUCCUUGUGAAGUCAGAGUUUCCUCUUCAUGCCUCUACUCCUAUGCAGUUUGACCUCUCAGUGUGCAGCUGGUGAUAGAUGGAAACCCUUGUUCAUAAGCUUUGUGGCACUGUCGGCAGGAUGAGGGGACUUCUGGAUCCUCACUGGUCACUGUGGCAGAGUGGUUGGUGUUGUCUGCUCCCUAGACAGGAACCCACUGAAGAAUCUGACAUUUUUUGAUAUGCUGGCAUUCAUUGUUACAGCCCAUCAUCCCAGCCAUCAAUCCAGGACAUGGGGUCUGUGCCCACGGUGGGAAGGAGGAGGGGGAAGCUGGCUUUGUUCUGACGUUGGGCUUCUUCUGCUCCACCAGUACUUUCUGUGGGGGAAAUAGGUAAAGAAAUGGCUGUUCAGAUGAGAAGAUGUGUCAGUAAACUUUUGCUACAGUGAUGCUGCAAAACAAAUCACUGGUGACUUUCAGUGGCACACAGCAAUAAACAUUUAUUUAGCUCAGGGAUUGACAAUCUUUUUUUUUUUUUAAAGGGCCAAAUAGUAAAUAUUUUAGGUGUUUCAGGCCAUACAGUCUCUGAACUCUGAACUUGUAGCACAACAGUAGCCUUAGAUGCUAUGCAAAUGGAGGAGCAUGACUGUGUUCCAAUAAAACUUUAUUUAUGGACACUAAAAUUGGAAUUUCAUGGAAUUUUUAUAUGUUAAGAAAUAUUAUACUUUGAUUUUUU